CAACCCUCGAGCCCCCGGGCUCGGUGUUGGGGACCGGCCACCCCCCGCGGUGGCCGCCCCCGAAAUCCAGUGGCGGUCCCGCCGCAGCCUCCUCUGCGUAGUAGUUAAUACCCUCGCACCGGAGCGCGGCGCGGCCCUGCCGUAAAACCCCCAACCCUUCUCA
Molecule: unclassified non-coding RNA, 163 nt
Filed under: uncultured Nectriaceae
Lineage: Eukaryota; Fungi; Ascomycota; Sordariomycetes; Hypocreales; Nectriaceae
Description: sequence contains ITS2
Source: RNAcentral